GCCUACGGGGCGCAGCAGUGAGGAAUAUUGGUCAAUAGGCGGAAGCCUGAACCAGCCAAGUCGCGUGAGGGAAUAAGGCCCUACGGGUCGUAAACCUCUUUUGCCGGGGAGCAAGGGCCGGGACGAGUCCCGGUCCGGAGAGUACCCGGAGAAAAAGCAUCGGCUAACUCCGUGCCAGCAGCCGCGGUAAUACGGAGGAUGCGAGCGUUAUCCGGAUUUAUUGGGUUUAAAGGGUGCGUAGGCGGGCUUUUAAGUCAGCGGUAAAAAUUCGGGGCUCAACCCCGUCCGGCCGCUGAAACUGGGGG
Molecule: ribosomal RNA, 305 nt
Filed under: uncultured bacterium
Lineage: Bacteria
Description: bacterial SSU rRNA
Rfam family: Bacterial small subunit ribosomal RNA
Source: RNAcentral